CCUACGGGAGGCAGCAGUGGGGAAUAUUGCACAAUGGGCGCAAGCCUGAUGCAGCCAUGCCGCGUGUGUGAAGAAGGCCUUCGGGUUGUAAAGCACUUUCAGCGGGGAGGAAGGCGGUGAGGUUAAUAACCUCAUCGAUUGACGUUACCCGCAGAAGAAGCACCGGCUAACUCCGUGCCAGCAGCCGCGGUAAUACGGAGGGUGCAAGCGUUAGUCGGAAUUACUGGGCGUAAAGCGCACGCAGGCGGUCUGUCAAGUCGGAUGUGAAAUCCCCGGGCUCAACCUGGGAACUGCAUUCGAAACUGGCAGGCUAGAGUCUUGUAGAGGGGGGUAGAAUUCCAGGUGUAGCGGUGAAAUGCGUAGAGAUCUGGAGGAAUACCGGUGGCGAAGGCGGCCCCCUGGACAAAGACUGACGCUCAGGUGCGAAAGCGUGGGGAGCAAACAGGAUUAGAUACCCUUGUAGUC
RNAcentral lists this ribosomal RNA (465 nucleotides) under uncultured Klebsiella sp. RNAcentral's name for it is "bacterial SSU rRNA". It matches the Rfam family "Bacterial small subunit ribosomal RNA", at positions 338 to 795 of the family's 1533-position model. Lineage: Bacteria; Pseudomonadati; Pseudomonadota; Gammaproteobacteria; Enterobacterales; Enterobacteriaceae. The record is from RNAcentral.